AACAAAUAACAAUAUAAUUUUAUAUUGUAAUAAAUAUCAUACUGAUUAUUAAUAUUGAUGUUUUUAUGUCAAAUCAGUAUGAACAGGAUAUCUUAUCAGCUGUAGCCAUGAUUUGUCCCACUAUUUUUGUCCAUAUAGUUUAUAAACAUUAAUAUUUCCUUAAAGUUUAAUGGGAGAUUUUUCCUUUUAAGUGAGAUUUGAUGAAAGUAGAUGGUUAGUUGUGGUAGAAAAU
Long non-coding RNA from Sphaeramia orbicularis (orbiculate cardinalfish), 232 nucleotides. RefSeq lists it as uncharacterized. The record is from RefSeq and is a predicted model, not a curated record. Lineage: Eukaryota; Metazoa; Chordata; Actinopteri; Kurtiformes; Apogonidae. The transcript has 3 exons.